Non-coding RNA from Canariomyces notabilis, 90 nucleotides. NCBI's taxonomy places the organism in Eukaryota, Fungi, Ascomycota, Sordariomycetes, Sordariales, Chaetomiaceae. The record is from the annotation of a RefSeq genome assembly.
GGUCCAUUGGCGUAAUUGGAAGCGCGUCUGACUACGAUCUCACAGAUCGGGGUAAUCAGGAGGCUCCAGGUUCGAGCCCUGGAUGGAUCG